UACGGAGGGUGCAAGCGUCGUCCGGAUUCAUUGGGUUAAAGGGUGCGUAGGCGGCCCUGUAAGUCAGCGGUGAAAUCCCACGGCUCAACCGUGGAACUGCCGUUGAUACUGCAGGGCUUGAGUUCGCCCGAGGUCGCUGGAAUGCGUGGUGUAGCGGUGAAAUGCAUAGAUAUCACGCAGAACACCGAUUGCGAAGGCAGGUGACUGGGGCGCGACUGACGCUGAGGCACGAAAGUGUGGGGAGCAAACAGG
This 252-nucleotide ribosomal RNA is filed under the name uncultured bacterium. RNAcentral's name for it is "partial 16S ribosomal RNA". It matches the Rfam family "Bacterial small subunit ribosomal RNA", at positions 524 to 776 of the family's 1533-position model. The record is from RNAcentral.